GCCUAACACACUGGUAAGCCUUGUAUCACCUUCACCAAUUAUCACUUCCAAUCUCAGAAACAAAAUGUUCUUCCUCUACCCGACAACAGUACAACUCAAAACCUAUUUUCUUUCUCUCUGAUUAACCUAGCCCUCUCUACUGCAGAACCACCGACCAUCACCGACCGCUCUCUGUCUCUCUACCCAUUAUCAUUUCACAUCAAAACCAGACAACUCCCAUCCCUUAUUUUUACUCAUUUUCUUGUAUCCAUGAAUUGAACAAAAAUAAGGAAGUUAUGGUGAACAGAAGCAGCAUGUUUGUCAAAAUAGGUCUGAAAUCUGAAUUCCUUUCAAUCACCGACAACAUCAGACACUCGCUGAAGACAAUUAGGCGGCUGUGCAGUGGUACCUGAAAUUUCUACUGUGCAAACCAAAUGAAAGGAAAAAAGGGAUGAAAAAAUAGAUCAAAUUUGUUGGUCUUCUCCAUGUGUCGUGCCAGAGGUACCUGAAAUUUCUACUGUGCAAACCAAAUGAAAGGAAAAAGGGAUGAAAAAAUAGAUCAAAUUUGUUGGUCUUCUCCAUGUGUCGUGCCAGAGGUACCUGAAAUUUCUACUGUGCAAACCAAAUGAAAGGAAAAAAGGGAUGAAAAAAUAGAUCAAAUUUGUUGGUCUUCUCCAUGUGUCGUGCCAGAGGUAAGUUUCUCAAAAAAUAAAAAUAAAUAAAUAAUACUCGGUAUGCUUGAGUUCUCCUUCGCUUAUUACAUGAUUUGAGUUGUUUUGAAUUUUGUUUUAGUGAAAAGAGCUUCAUAAUUUGUUAUCAAAUGCGAGCAGGCCACUCGUUAAGUUAAGUUAACAACAACAUCAUUUCUUAAUCAAAUAGAAACAACCAUUUAGGACAUGUAGGCUUUGUCAGGCAGAUACUUUGUGACAGUAAAUAUGCACCCUUGGUAGAAUAUCUGAAUUGCUGAAUGGCGAGCCUAAUUUAAAAACCUGGAGCACCAUUUUUUUUUGUCUUCAUUUUUGUGAAAGGUCUGUUAUGUCAGUAUAGCUAAAUCAUUCUGUUUAGGACUUGUUAGUAACAUUUAGAAUAGAUUCCUCUCAUUCUUGUUUCGGGAAAAAAAUGUCUGGAUUUUGGACCGGUGUUAGGGAUGAAAAAUCAUCGCAUAAAUCAAUCAGAGAACUUGCACAAGAGCAUGCUUCACGUUAUGAGUUUACAGUAGACCACAAUGUCAAUAACUAUAGGGAUUAUUACCAACCUUUUCAAGGUUCUGAGCUUCCAUAUACAUACCCUAAUUGCUAUGCACACAUGGACCAAUCACCACAAUGGGAAAAUGACCAAUUCUGUACUCCCCUUGAACAACUUAAUAUGCUUUUAAAAAUGAAUCUGAUUCAUUUACAAAAUGAUGGAAGGGAGAAGUGUCAAGAUGAAUUGUUUGUUGAUCCUAAUGAAUUAAAUUGUGAAAAUAGUGUUUCUUUUCCAGCUCAUGAUCCACAAGAUGACUACUAUUUGUGGGUGAAACCGUUUCUGCUGAUUUUGGUAAUUUUGGGUGUGUGGAUGAGAAACGAGUCUAAACUUUAAACAAUGCACUGCACGGGAGUACUUUUGAUUCGAGAGAUCAAUCUGUACAAUCCUGG
This is a long non-coding RNA of Papaver somniferum (opium poppy), 1613 nucleotides long. RefSeq lists it as uncharacterized. The record is from RefSeq and is a predicted model, not a curated record. The transcript has 4 exons. NCBI's taxonomy places the organism in Eukaryota, Viridiplantae, Streptophyta, Magnoliopsida, Ranunculales, Papaveraceae.